GUCAGGAUGGCCGAGUGGUCUAAGGCGCCAGACUCAAGGUUGACAACCUUCCUCACAAAGGAGUGUUCUGGUCUCCGAAUGGAGGCGUGGGUUCGAAUCCCACUUCUGACA
This 111-nucleotide transfer RNA is filed under the name Megalops atlanticus (tarpon). It matches the Rfam family "tRNA". Rfam says of the family: Transfer RNA (tRNA) molecules are approximately 80 nucleotides in length. Their secondary structure includes four short double-helical elements and three loops (D, anti-codon, and T loops). Further hydrogen bonds mediate the characteristic L-shaped molecular structure. tRNAs have two regions of fundamental functional importance: the anti-codon, which is responsible for specific mRNA codon recognition, and the 3' end, to which the tRNAs corresponding amino acid is attached (by aminoacyl-tRNA synthetases). tRNAs cope with the degeneracy of the genetic code in two manners: having more than one tRNA (with a specific anti-codon) for a particular amino acid; and 'wobble' base-pairing, i.e. permitting non-standard base-pairing at the 3rd anti-codon position. The record is from Rfam by way of RNAcentral. Lineage: Eukaryota; Metazoa; Chordata; Actinopteri; Elopiformes; Megalopidae.